Long non-coding RNA from Malurus melanocephalus (red-backed fairy wren), 4833 nucleotides. RefSeq lists it as uncharacterized. The record is from RefSeq and is a predicted model, not a curated record. Lineage: Eukaryota; Metazoa; Chordata; Aves; Passeriformes; Maluridae. The transcript is spliced from 3 exons.
CUGGAGUAAGGCAAUGGCUUCUAACUCCCCACCAAAUUCAGCAGUGCAAGAGGCAGUGCUGUGUCCAUGACCUGCUCCAGUACCUGUUCCCACUUUGCUUCUGGAGCAAAGCCCAUCUCCAUCCUGCUGGAAAGAGCUUUGCAAAGAGGAAGCAAAACUUGUGCUUGGUGCCCUGCAGAACAGACAGAGGCUUUGUGGGGGUGUCCGUGGGAAGGGGCGUGUUCUGGCCCCAGGAAUGGGAGGCAUGUCCRCAGUGGGAGGCAGCGCUCACGGGAUUCCCCACUCUCACCAUUGAGCAUUGUUCAGAACAAACGUAGAUGCUGUAUAUGGAUGUAAAGCUUAAUUUGUGGUUUUUACACCCACCACAUUUCUUGGAGUUGACGUUUUCUAGAACUUUGGGAAUUUUUAUCUCCAGGCUGUUGCUUUCUUUUGGGUUUUUUUCCUUCAUUUUAUAGGAAGUUAGCAGCCCAUGUUUUUUUCAUAAUGCAAACAAAUCAACCCACGCUUUGGCCAAAGCAGCUGGGUAAUGCUGUCCUGUCCUCAAAGGUGUUCGACUCUGCAGGGCAAUGGGGGCACAUGUUUGGUUCCUAUAACACAGUACAGCUGCACCAUGACAUUGAUUGGGUGGAUGCUGAGAAAUAUGUAGGAAUUCCCAGGGGAAAUGUGGAAAUGGGGGGGGCCUUCUUCACCCAGUGUUCCACUUUGUGCCMAACAGUGAGAACAGAGUGACUUAUUUUUCAGAAAUAUCUGUAGCCACCUAUGACUGAACAGUUGUUUCUUGCUCCUGAUAGCACCCAAAAUGUUCAGGGCAUUUUCCAGGUGGAAGAAAGAGCUAAAGAGACACAGAAGRAAGAGGGAGAAGAUUCARCUCAGCAGUUGUUAAGUAUAAGUGGAAUCUCAUUCAUUCUAAAAUUUCAGCCUAUUGUGAUGACUUCACAGUUUUAAAGAAAAAAAAAUGCUUUUGUGCUCUCUAAGGUGUGCUGAAAACCUCCUUGUUCCUSCUGCUCCGUGGCAGAAGAUGCUGCAUUGGGAUUUGUAGAAGGCUUUGAAAUGAGCCAGAACAUGAAGAAGAACAUGAGUACAUGAAGAAACAAAAUCAGAUGGAACUGGCUGAAAAAAAAACCCCAGUAGCCCCAGGUAGAAAACUUCCUCUGAACUCUGCAUGUGUUUGGACCCAGCUUAUAAGAGUCYUGCUUUAUCCCACUUCAGCAUUGCCAUCACCUCUUGUUGGAGAUGUGGAUUUUUAACCUGUCCUGGGUAAAACCAGUGGAUCACUUCAGGUACAAGUUAAGCUAAAMUAUUUCUUGGUGUACCUUUUCGUGUUCCUAGUGAUGAACCCUUUAGGAUAACUAAUAUCUGAAAGUGACCUUCUUCUGGACUUCUUGCCCUUACCAACCUCCUUUCACCUACACUGGAGAGUGUGAAUGCACAGUGGAGGCACUAAAGGACGAAGCUGCCCAAGAUCACCCUCUUCCCAGCCACUGUGUGGUGACAUCUUGACAUGRAGAUGCAGUUUCCAGGAGCUCCUAUGACAGACCUGAGGUCACCACAUAACAAUGACCCAGAGAACUGGCUUGGUGGCACACAGAUGACUGAAUAGGUGCCCUCCCAGUACUGCCCACACAGCUGCUGGUGAGCACAAAGUGAGUAUUCAGUGUGUUCAAUAUGCCAGGGACAUUAGUCACAGCUCAUUCCAUUGCACAUGUCCAUUGAGUGGAAGAACCACCGGGAUUUCUGUAAAUCCAGCAUGGGAAUUCACUCAUCCCAGCCUCCAGCAACAKUGAAUUACCCUGGUGCAGUUGGGAAGCAUACAUAGCCACAAUGAGAAAGUACCGUGGUUUCCCAGAAAGUAAUAGAGUGGUUAUUGCUGAUAGUUACUGCCUUUGUGAAACAUUAACAUGUGGUUGUAGUGCAGUCAUGUAGCAAAAUUAUAGGGGCCUGUAGAAUGUUACUUAGCAACACUUGCUAAUGGUGAGGUGGUAAUGAAGGAAUGGAGAAAARGAAACACAGAGUAUAUUGGAGUCAUAAAAUAAGCUGUGGUGUGAUGUGAGCAAGCUGUUCURAAGAUAAAGGUGUUGUCUCUUUCUUUUUUUUUGCCAUGUGGAUAUGGUGGAAGAACUUAAGAGCUGAUUUGAAGCAAUGCAUUUGAAAUAUCUAAGUAACAGAAACAAGCACGACAUUUUUCAUUUUUCUUUUAUCAUUGCUGCUGCUUGGGAAAAGUCUCAGAAUUGCUUGGCUUUUGAAGGUCCUCUCCCAUACUGAGGCACUAGCUGGCCAAUUAAAACAAUCUCUCCUUUGGAAAGCAAGCAUUUGUCAGAGUUAAGAAUGAAGGCUUUUUUCUACUACAUCUAUUGUCUCAUUCAUUCAUUUACAUAACUGCUCCARUGUUAAUCAAGUGCCUGUAGGCAUAUCUCUAGGAAAGUAUAAGGCCAUAAAAAWAAAGGCAGACAUAUCUAGUUAUAGAUGAACCAUCCACAUGCUGCAGAUCUGUUCUCAGACACUUAUCUUGGUUUAUCYCCACCUGUUUAAAUUGGAAAACUCACAAAAAUCCAUCUCCUUAGAGAUUUCCAAGGUUUCUUGAUUUCAUUUGGGUCAGAACUGACACAAAAAGAUGCAUUUCUCAGAGCACUUCUGAGCUGCUGCCAGGAACAGGGAGUGCUGGACUGUGCCACUAAAAAAAAAGAAAUAAAAAGUUUUCUUUGAAAAGUCACCAAAUUUUAUAAGCUUGAAAAAAUUGGCCUAGUUCAGUCUUGGGUAUGAUUAAAAGAGCUGCCCUGAUUUAUUGGUGUCAAACAAAGUAUGUUUGGGUAGAACAUUAUUUUGUAAUGGAAAAAGUGUCAGUGGAAGYGCUGCCUAUCAGCACUGCCUGGGCUGGGUGAGGACUGAGCCUUAAACUGCAUCUCUAAYGCUGGAGAAAAAGAAGACUAUUCUAAAAAGGAAGACUGAUUUACCKAGAAGGCCAUCUCUAAGUCUUCCAGAUAAAGGUGGGUGUGAACAAAGCUCAGCCUCUGGGGUUUUGCUGACUAAAUUAUCACAGAAGUCAUGGAGUAUACUGAGUUGAAAGUAACCCAUCAGGACCAUCUGAUAUUUGCCUGCUUUGCACUUCACCAAGGCCCUGCAAAGUAAAAGGAARCAAGUUUCUCAUUCCCUCCCCACCAGGAAUGCUAAGCCACGAAUAUAGAGUGAUGGUUUGGGAAAUGUUUCACAGAAGAAGCUUUCCAUAUGCAUAAAUUUAAUAAAACAAUAAUAUUCUCCAGUUGCUAACAUAUUUGCUUCCUGCUGUCCUUUAAUUUUGCACUUUUUCUUUCUUUUCCCUUGUAAAUGACAGAGUCAUUUUAUUUUGACUGUGUUCUUGUUCUUGCUCAUUGUCCUAUGCAGAGCUGGGGUAAGAGGCACUGGCACAAGGACGUGCCUACCAGGGACUGCCCAGAGACAAAUGGAAAAUUAAAUGUAAGUGAAGCAGGGGAGCCAAGCCUGAUGUUAACAACCCAGUCUGUUUCAGACAUACUUGUCCCACCAUCAUCCUUCUGGAGUAUUUUUAACAGARCCCUUGUGCAAAGGGAGACCUUACUAAGACGCCUACUCCUGCCCUUCCUAAAAUCACCAUGUUAAUCUUUCUUCAAARCAUGCAACUGAGGUGACUUUUGGCUUUAAAUGUGAUUUAUGACCCUUUGAGAUGCCGAUGAGGUUAUAGUUGAGGCCCUUAAACUGGACAAAAUUAGUAGCAAAUAUAAAUUUAAUUUGGUGAAUUUAUGAUAAAAAUUAUAGGGAAAAAUAAGCACUUACAGGAAGACUCUACCAUGAAAAAUUAUAUUGGAAUUAGCAGAGUCCUCAGCACCUAUACACAUUUCAAGCAGAUGUUCUGCCUGUCCUACUUAUCGGCAAUUACUUUUGAUCAAAAUGCUCCAGACUUUAAAAAAGGUGGUACUCAUUUUGUAGAGCUUGUUUCGGGUGAACAAAAUUGUCCUCUGUCUUACGAUGUUUAAUGAUUAUUUGAAAGCAACUUGAUGAAUAGAAGAACGUGUACUCCCACUUGGGGCAAAUGUAUUUUUGGAGUGAUUCAUAAUAAUUAAUCUUUGUCUAAGUGGAAUGCAUUAAUUUCUCCUACUGAUGAUGACGGUACUUCUGUUUCUUUUCCUAAGUUAGAUGGUUCUGCUCCAGAGGCAUAUUUGCUGAUUAAAUUGGACUGCGACCGGGUACUUAGGUUAUGUCACUGUUACCCAAAUGAUCUUUUAAAGAACACAAAGUACUUGUUUUUGCUGCUCUUGCRUGCUCCACAUUUAAUCACGGAUCUUUGUAGCUUGUUAUUUCUAAAAUUCAGAUUACAGUGACUUAAAGGCCUCUCCAUCCUUGCCAGUGCUCGGUGACAUAAAAUAAACCCGCCUAUUUAGAAAAGAACCAMAAAACUUGUCAAGUUGCACUGAGGRAUGGAAAGAAAAAGCAAGAAUGCUUUACAGGGAUCUGGAAAYGCCGUCUGCAGCGCAGCUAUAAAGGGAAAUGCUAUAAUAAGUUGAUAUUAUCCAUGUAGCCAGAACUUUGUUUCUGAGARCGCUGUUACCCGAGGCGGGGGUCCCUGUCGGGUGUGGGGUCCCAGGGCAGGGGUGAGACACAGACACAGCAGGAGAGGGUUCAUGGCCUCAAGAACGUGCGAGUGUCACCGGGCAGCGGGAGAAGGAAGCGGAACAAAGCAGAGGCACAGAUUCCCCACCAGCCUCCCGCUGCUCCUGGGCCACACCAGCCACCAAAGCCCCUCUGCUUGUCCCCACCUUGCUGGGGGCUGGCUGAGCCCCCCAGGCUGACUGUGCAGAGCCCAGUGUCCAUUGCCAUGUCCCU